CACGAAGGAAAGAAUGAAAAAAGAAAAACACGAUUCCGAUCGAUCUCGAUAAGUUCCGCUUUUUUCACCUAUAUGUACCUCAUUGAAGGAUGCGGGAGACGUAGGAACCA
Molecule: ribosomal RNA, 110 nt
Filed under: Prasinococcus sp. CCMP1194
Lineage: Eukaryota; Viridiplantae; Prasinodermophyta; Palmophyllophyceae; Prasinococcales; Prasinococcaceae
Source: RNAcentral